RNAcentral lists this ribosomal RNA (506 nucleotides) under uncultured bacterium. RNAcentral describes it as "partial 16S ribosomal RNA". It matches the Rfam family "Bacterial small subunit ribosomal RNA", at positions 29 to 523 of the family's 1533-position model. The record is from RNAcentral.
AUUGAACGCUGGCGGCAGGCCUAACACAUGCAAGUCGGACGGUAGCACAGGGGAGCUUGCUCCUCGGGUGACGAGUGGCGGACGGGUGAGUAAUGUCUGGGGAUCUGCCCGAUAGAGGGGGAUAACCACUGGAAACGGUGGCUAAUACCGCAUAACGUCGCAAGACCAAAGAGGGGGACCUUCGGGCCUCUCACUAUCGGAUGAACGCAGAUGGGAUUAGCUAGUAGGCGGGGUAACGGCCCACCUAGGCGACGAUCCCUAGCUGGUCUGAGAGGAUGACCAGCCACACUGGAACUGAGACACGGUCCAGACUCCUACGGGAGGCAGCAGUGGGGAAUAUUGCACAAUGGGCGCAAGCCUGAUGCAGCCAUGCCGCGUGUAUGAAGAAGGCCUUCGGGUUGUAAAGUACUUUCAGCGGGGAGGAAGGCGAUAAGGUUAAUAACCUUGUCGAUUGACGUUACCCGCAGAAGAAGCACCGGCUAACUCCGUGCCAGCCGCCGCAGUAA